This is a small nuclear RNA of Alligator mississippiensis (American alligator), 198 nucleotides long. It matches the Rfam family "U2 spliceosomal RNA". Rfam says of the family: U2 is a small nuclear RNA (snRNA) component of the spliceosome (involved in pre-mRNA splicing). The record is from Rfam. Lineage: Eukaryota; Metazoa; Chordata; Crocodylia; Alligatoridae.
AUUGUUUCUCAGCGCUUUAUAGGUUAAGAUCAAGUGUAAAACCUGUUCUUAUCAGUUGUAAUAUCUGAUAUGUUUCCUAAGGGAAAGCUGUAUAUUGAGGGGUUUUUUUUGUUCCUUGGAGCUGGAUUAUGAAGCUUGCUCUUUCCUCUCCUUGCAUCAGCCUGGUACUGCAGUGCUUUCAGGAAUGGUGCCUUUUUC